UAUCAUUUGCAUUUUGACUUUAAAAGCAGUAUGCAGCUUUAUUAAAAGCAAAAUCCAAAUGAUAUAUGCUAUAAAGUAAAAUAUGU
Long non-coding RNA from Sinocyclocheilus rhinocerous, 86 nucleotides. RefSeq lists it as uncharacterized. Lineage: Eukaryota; Metazoa; Chordata; Actinopteri; Cypriniformes; Cyprinidae. The transcript has 3 exons. The record is from RefSeq and is a predicted model, not a curated record.